Pelobates cultripes (western spadefoot toad) is the source of this 312-nucleotide non-coding RNA. NCBI's taxonomy places the organism in Eukaryota, Metazoa, Chordata, Amphibia, Anura, Pelobatidae. The record is from the annotation of a GenBank genome assembly.
CUCACCAGAACAAAUUCAAUAAGCUGUAGUUGUACUGGUGACUAUAGUGUCCCUUUGAAGGGCAUAGAUCAGAGUGCUUGGACUACUUUCUUUACUGACAUCAACUCAAAAUCACACAGGGCACAUUUAGAGAUUUAUUUUUAAUACGCUAAAAAAAAAUGUUAGGGUUGUCACUUAUUAAAGUUAACAUGUCCAAGAGAAAAAGAAAGACAUGCUGCCAUUUUAUAGGGAAUAUGAUUUAAUCAGACAGAGUUUAUUAUGACACUUCCAAAAUGUGAUGGAUUGGCGAGUUCGUACUAAAUUAAUUUGUGU